RNAcentral lists this ribosomal RNA (328 nucleotides) under uncultured Bacteroidota bacterium. Its description in RNAcentral is "bacterial SSU rRNA". It matches the Rfam family "Bacterial small subunit ribosomal RNA", at positions 28 to 351 of the family's 1533-position model. Lineage: Bacteria; Pseudomonadati; Bacteroidota. The record is from RNAcentral.
GAUGAACGCUAGCGGGAGGCUUAACACAUGCAAGUCGAGGGGCAGCACGAGGUAGCAAUACUUUGGUGGCGACCGGCGCACGGGUGAGUAACGCGUAUGCAACCUACCCUGUACAGGGGGAUAGCCCGGAGAAAUUCGGAUUAAUACCCCAUAAAGAUAUCGAGAGGCAUCUUUUGAUAUUUAAAGAUUUAUCGGUACGGGAUGGGCAUGCGUAACAUUAGCUAGUUGGUGAGGUAACGGCUCACCAAGGCUACGAUGUCUAGGGGUUCUGAGAGGAUUCACCCCCACACUGGUACUGAGACACGGACCAGACUCCUACGGGAGGCAG